GUGGGUUUAGCACAGUUGGCAGGGCGUCAGAUUGUGGUUCUGAAGGUCGUGGGUUCGAGCCCCACAACCCACC
This 73-nucleotide transfer RNA is filed under the name Lachnospiraceae bacterium. RNAcentral's name for it is "tRNA-His". It matches the Rfam family "tRNA". Rfam says of the family: Transfer RNA (tRNA) molecules are approximately 80 nucleotides in length. Their secondary structure includes four short double-helical elements and three loops (D, anti-codon, and T loops). The record is from RNAcentral. RNAcentral also lists the same sequence under 1 other name. Lineage: Bacteria; Bacillati; Bacillota; Clostridia; Lachnospirales; Lachnospiraceae.